UAUGACACUUCUGCGAGAAGGG
This 22-nucleotide microRNA is filed under the name Heligmosomoides polygyrus. Its description in RNAcentral is "hpo-miR-10022-5p". The record is from miRBase by way of RNAcentral. Lineage: Eukaryota; Metazoa; Nematoda; Chromadorea; Rhabditida; Heligmosomidae.